This 465-nucleotide ribosomal RNA is filed under the name uncultured Klebsiella sp. RNAcentral's name for it is "bacterial SSU rRNA". It matches the Rfam family "Bacterial small subunit ribosomal RNA", at positions 339 to 795 of the family's 1533-position model. The record is from RNAcentral. Lineage: Bacteria; Pseudomonadati; Pseudomonadota; Gammaproteobacteria; Enterobacterales; Enterobacteriaceae.
CUACGGGGGGCUGCAGUGGGGAAUAUUGCACAAUGGGCGCAAGCCUGAUGCAGCCAUGCCGCGUGUGUGAAGAAGGCCUUCGGGUUGUAAAGCACUUUCAGCGGGGAGGAAGGCGGUGAGGUUAAUAACCUCAUCGAUUGACGUUACCCGCAGAAGAAGCACCGGCUAACUCCGUGCCAGCAGCCGCGGUAAUACGGAGGGUGCAAGCGUUAAUCGGAAUUACUGGGCGUAAAGCGCACGCAGGCGGUCUGUCAAGUCGGAUGUGAAAUCCCCGGGCUCAACCUGGGAACUGCAUUCGAAACUGGCAGGCUAGAGUCUUGUAGAGGGGGGUAGAAUUCCAGGUGUAGCGGUGAAAUGCGUAGAGAUCUGGAGGAAUACCGGUGGCGAAGGCGGCCCCCUGGACAAAGACUGACGCUCAGGUGCGAAAGCGUGGGGAGCAAACAGGAUUAGAUACCCCAGUUAGUC